This 481-nucleotide ribosomal RNA is filed under the name uncultured bacterium. RNAcentral describes it as "bacterial SSU rRNA". It matches the Rfam family "Bacterial small subunit ribosomal RNA", at positions 328 to 793 of the family's 1533-position model. The record is from RNAcentral.
UCAGUCGACUCCUACGGGGAGGCAGCAGUGGGGGGAAUAUUGCACAAUGGGCGCAAGCCUGAUGCAGCCAUGCCGCGUGUAUGAAGAAGGACCUUCGGGUUGUAAAGUACUUUCAGCAGUGAGGAAGGUGGGGUAUGUUAAUAGCAUACUCAUUUGACGUUAGCUGCAGAAGAAAGCACCGGCUAACUCCGUGCCAGCAGCCGCGGUAAUACGGAGGGUGCGAGCGUUAAUCGGAAUUACUGGGCGUAAAGCGCAUGCAGGUGGUUUGUUAAGUCAGAUGUGAAAGCCCGGGGCUCAACCUCGGAAUUGCAUUUGAAACUGGCAAACUAGAGUACUGUAGAGGGGGGUAGGAAUUUCAGGUGUAGCGGUGAAAUGCGUAGAGAUCUGAAGGAAUACCGGUGGCGAAGGCGGCCCCCUCGGACAGAUACUGACACUCAGAUGCGAAAGCGUGGGGAGCAAACAGGAUUAGAUACCCUGGUAG